This 232-nucleotide ribosomal RNA is filed under the name uncultured bacterium. Its description in RNAcentral is "partial 16S ribosomal RNA". It matches the Rfam family "Bacterial small subunit ribosomal RNA", at positions 103 to 334 of the family's 1533-position model. The record is from RNAcentral.
CGGGUAGCGGAACACGUACGCAAUCUACCUUUAUCUGGGGCAUAGCCCGGAGAAAUCCGGAUUAAUACCCCGUAACAUAUUUUAGUGGCAUCACUUAGAUAUUAAAACUCCGGUGGAUAGAGAUGAGCGUGCGUCCCAUUAGCUAGUUGGUAGGGUAACGGCCUACCAAGGCGACGAUGGGUAGCUGGUGUGAGAGCACGACCAGCCACACGGGCACUGAGACACGGGCCCG